AAGCCAAAGUGCAUUCCCCUGUGAGCUGCUUCAGUAUUUCCGCUAUCGCUUUGAGCCCUGAGUGUUGGUUUUAUACGUGUUCAAGAUUCUGGAACAGCUGCCAAUUGGACAAAUACACUUUUCAAACUACUGUGCCGAGCUGUACUGCGCUAGCCAGGUUACGUAAUCCACCAUCGUUUCCGAAGCCAAUCUGUCAAGGACAAUGUGAAAAUAAAAUAUCCAAGUCAGUGAGGUACAGCGGCGAUUGGCACGCUAAGAGUAUACGAGUAUGGGAUCAGUUGCGGCGAGGGGAGUGGAUGCUCUGGCUCUAUUCCUAUUUGGAUAUCGGCCCAGUCAGCAGACAGUACACAACGAAGAGCGGUUCCCUACUUCACUGUCAUUCUCCACUCAGCUCAGCAGCUGCCAAGCAACCAGGCUACAUACAGUACACUACAAACCAGGAGAUGCAAGACCACCAACACCAGGAAGAUCUGGGACCAGUCAACAUAAACACACCUUUAGAUCUGUAGGAAUGCUGUGAUGUCGAUGGGUGUAGAGGUGUCUGAUUGGCCCAUGUCUUUCACCAGUCACCUACUGACAACGCCUGGUAUUGUUGAAGAUUUGUGAAAAUGUGCCUGUAUGUGAGUACGUACAGUGUCUGUUAGUAUGUUAUAUGCUUGUCUUCGUGUGUAAAGCAUGAAGUGUGUGUGUUGCCAUAAUCAGGCAUAAAGACCAUUGCUUUGUAGUACAACGUAGUAGCCUACAUCAGGCAAUUAAGAGUCUACCUGCUUUAACUACAGGCAAAAUAAACUAAAUCUAAUGCAAAUUGAUGCAAGCUUUUCCUAGCUGAUAUAGGAAACUUGGCAACUGCCCAGUAUGAAAACUGGUUCAGAUGUGUGUGCAUGGAUGUGACACCAGAGGUUGCCUGGGGCAACAUUAGGUAUAAAUAACUAAGGUCAGACAAGAAAAAAAAAAAGGAUUUUCCUCCUAGGCAAUGAGAUAAUUAGAUGUCAAGCUGCAUUAUGGGUAAUUAAUGUGGAAAAGUGUUAUUACAUAUGAAACAAACCAACACCAUAACAACAUGUUAAUUGUUAUACUUCCAACUGUUGCAAUGAAUGAGACUAACAUGGAUAGCAAGUUUGACUGAAUCAAAGUAAAACUGAAUUAAAAAGUAAUUAAGAGUGAAUGUAAUUAUUAACUAAUAUACUGUAGUCACCAAAAAAAAGGGUUGUUUUCAACAAGGUUGAUAUAGUUGAUCUUGUCUGUUGGACUGAAUAAAAAGGAAUUCUCAAUCGCUC
Oncorhynchus gorbuscha (pink salmon) is the source of this 1277-nucleotide long non-coding RNA. RefSeq lists it as uncharacterized. The transcript is spliced from 2 exons. NCBI's taxonomy places the organism in Eukaryota, Metazoa, Chordata, Actinopteri, Salmoniformes, Salmonidae. The record is from RefSeq and is a predicted model, not a curated record.